GGAGUUUGGACCGUGUCUCAGUUCCAAUGUGGGGGACCUUCCUCUCAGAACCCCUACCGAUCGUUGCCUUGGUGGGCCGUUACCCCGCCAACAUAGCUAAUCGGACGCAUCCCCAUCCACCACCGAUGAAUCUUUACUCCUCGUCAGAUGUCCGCAAAGGAGACCAUCAGGGAUUAAUCCAGUUUUCACUGGGCUAUACCCGAGUGGCGGGCAGGUUGGAUACGCGUUACUCACCCGUGCGCCGGUCGUCAUCUGGCUGAGCAAGCUCAGCCAAUGUUACCCCUCGACUUGCAUGUGUUAAGCCUGUAGCUAGCGUUCAUC
Molecule: ribosomal RNA, 321 nt
Filed under: uncultured Prevotella sp.
Lineage: Bacteria; Pseudomonadati; Bacteroidota; Bacteroidia; Bacteroidales; Prevotellaceae
Description: partial 16S ribosomal RNA
Source: RNAcentral